This 528-nucleotide ribosomal RNA is filed under the name Campylodiscus striatus. Its description in RNAcentral is "eukaryotic LSU rRNA". It matches the Rfam family "Eukaryotic large subunit ribosomal RNA", at positions 35 to 662 of the family's 3401-position model. Lineage: Eukaryota; Bacillariophyta; Bacillariophyceae; Surirellales; Surirellaceae. The record is from RNAcentral.
UAAGCAUAUAAAUAAGCGGAGGAAAAGAAACUAACUAGGAUUGGUCCAGUAACGGCGAGUGAAGCGCCAACAGCCCAGGCUGUGAAUCGGCACUUGUGUCGAAUUGUGGAAUGCCGGUCAGUUUGUGCAACUUUUGGACCAAGUCCCCUGGAAUGGGGCAGCACAGAGGGUGAGACUCCCGUAGGUCUGGAGGUGGGAAAAUUGUCCAAAGAGUCGAGUUGUUUGGGAUUGCAGCUCAAAGUGGGUGGUAAAUUCCAUCCAAGGCUAAAUACUGGUGAGAGACCGAUAGCAUACAAGUACCGUGAGGGAAAGAUGCAAAGCCGCGCGAGAGCGCUGUCAAAGAGUACCUGAAAUUGCUGAAAAGGAAGCGAAGGAAACCAGUGGUAGCCAUCCCGCACUUCCCUGAUUGCUUGCAGUUGGGGCGCUGCGGCUGGUGUUGUCCGUUGGGCUCGGGUCGGAGCGGAAGAUAAUGACGCUUUGAUGUGCGCCUUUGGACGAAAUGGUUUUCUUUUUCCCGUCUUGAAACAC